GGAAAGUAGAACAUCAACAAAGAGCACAGUGACAAGCAGCACCUGCCAGUUCAUUUGUGAUGUUUAAGACGCGGCCUGCAAUUGCAUGAAAUUUUCUCAGAGACCCAGAAAUUUGGCUCCUGUUAUCACGCUUUGUUGCUUCUGUUCAGAUUUAAUGAGGAGUUUGAACUUUCUAGCACCCAUUUUAAAUGUUUUCGGCAGUGGCAGUGGGUCUCCAACUUGAGCGUAGAUUAGAAUCUUCUGAAAGAUUCAUGUUCCCAAUUGCCAGGCCCCUCCCCCUGCGCUCCUGAUUCAGUAGGUUUCUUCUAGGAUCCGGGAAUUUGCAAUUCAAGAUUCACAAGUGAUGCUGCGACUGGUCCGGGGAAAUCACUGCUGAAGUGGAGGCUCUUGCUGUCCCGCCCAGAUCUCCUUUACCAGACUGUGAGCUCCAGAAAAGUAAGAAAUAAUUGGAAUGCCUAGUAUAGUAUGGGCACCAUACUCCUUUGUUGAACGAAUAAAUGCCUAAUGGAAUGGAUAGUUUUGAAAGAGUUGGAGAUUUCCAUGUUCUCACCAGGAAGGUCAGACUUCAUCAUCUAGUGAGUGGCAAAGAUGUUCAACACGGGAAAAGGUUUUGCUUGAAACCAACAUUUUAUAUUUGAAACAACUUAAACACCUAAGCAUCAGGAAUGAGCAUCGCGAAGAGUCAGACACGACUGAGCGAGUGAACUGGACUGAACUGAAAAACCUAAGCAUCAGACCAGCCAGAAGAGCCUAGAAGAGCAGAGAGAACUUUCAUCUUCCCCAACAGUACCGGAUGUAUUUCUUCUACAAAGAAGAAGAACCAAAUACAGAAGGGGAUUAUUUUCCCCUGUUCCAUGGGAACUAACAAACCAACUAACAAAACCACAACCCAAACCAUAGAAUAUGGAUAAUUAUAAUUGUUCUUUGGUUGUGUUGACGAGAGUUACUGCACAUGUCAUUCUUUCCCAAUACAAUAUUUAAACCUAUACACAGAAAGCCAAUCAAUCAACUGACCAAUUCUCUGGAUGGGGGAUGGCAAGGUCAAAAGAAAGCCACAGAGGACAACUAAACUUUUCACGCUGGGAACGCCACUGGUCACUGGAGAAUACAUAUUUUGUGAACUAGAUAAAAUUUUUAUUUUAAAAAGGAGAGAUGUAGCCCACAGAUUCAAUCAUUUAGCAGACCGAUUGUGGUUUAAGAAUCAAGGCACGUCAGGAGC
Bos taurus (domestic cattle) is the source of this 1219-nucleotide long non-coding RNA. Lineage: Eukaryota; Metazoa; Chordata; Mammalia; Artiodactyla; Bovidae. The record is from Ensembl.